UACACCCUGAAGUAUUCGCUAGGUUGCUAGACCCCUGAGCCGAUGCUUAAAAACCAGGAGCGAUCCAGCCGAAAUUGGUGUGCAUGUCCGCUCGACGGAAAGCCUAAAAAUUUCGCGGAAAACUCCACCUUGAACCAAUGGGUUCAAGGGCCGUGCGACCGGCGGUACUUUGGGGCUUUU
Molecule: non-coding RNA, 180 nt
Filed under: Spongiibacter nanhainus
Lineage: Bacteria; Pseudomonadati; Pseudomonadota; Gammaproteobacteria; Cellvibrionales; Spongiibacteraceae
Description: 6S / SsrS RNA
Rfam family: 6S / SsrS RNA
About the family: E. coli 6S RNA was the first non coding RNA to be sequenced, but its function was unknown until recently. It consists of 184 nucleotides that fold into an extended hairpin structure with a large single-stranded internal bulge.
Source: Rfam by way of RNAcentral